Molecule: ribosomal RNA, 465 nt
Filed under: Vreelandella stevensii
Lineage: Bacteria; Pseudomonadati; Pseudomonadota; Gammaproteobacteria; Oceanospirillales; Halomonadaceae
Description: partial 16S ribosomal RNA
Rfam family: Bacterial small subunit ribosomal RNA
Source: RNAcentral
CCUACGGGUGGCUGCAGUGGGGAAUAUUGGACAAUGGGGGGAACCCUGAUCCAGCCAUGCCGCGUGUGUGAAGAAGGCCCUCGGGUUGUAAAGCACUUUCAGUGAGGAAGAACGCCUGGUGGUUAAUACCCAUCAGGAAAGACAUCACUCACAGAAGAAGCACCGGCUAACUCCGUGCCAGCAGCCGCGGUAAUACGGAGGGUGCGAGCGUUAAUCGGAAUUACUGGGCGUAAAGCGCGCGUAGGUGGCUUGAUAAGCCGGUUGUGAAAGCCCCGGGCUCAACCUGGGAACGGCAUCCGGAACUGUCAAGCUAGAGUGCAGGAGAGGAAGGUAGAAUUCCCGGUGUAGCAGUGAAAUGCGUAGAGAUCGGGAGGAAUACCAGUGGCGAAGGCGGCCUUCUGGACUGACACUGACACUGAGGUGCGAAAGCGUGGGUAGCAAACAGGAUUAGAUACCCGAGUAGUC